UACAGAGGUCUCAAGCGUUGCUCGGAAUCACUGGGCGUAAAGGGCGCGUAGGCGGCCGUUCAAGUCGGGGGUGAAAGCCUGUGGCUCAACCACAGAAUGGCCCUCGAUACUGGAUGGCUCGAGACCGGAAGAGGUUGGUGGAACUGCGAGUGUAGAGGUGAAAUUCGUAGAUAUUCGCAAGAACACCAGUGGCGAAGGCGGCCAACUGGUCCGGUUCUGACGCUGAGGCGCGAAAGCGUGGGGAGCAAACAGG
This 253-nucleotide ribosomal RNA is filed under the name uncultured bacterium. RNAcentral's name for it is "partial 16S ribosomal RNA". It matches the Rfam family "Bacterial small subunit ribosomal RNA", at positions 524 to 776 of the family's 1533-position model. The record is from RNAcentral.